RNAcentral lists this ribosomal RNA (500 nucleotides) under uncultured bacterium. RNAcentral describes it as "partial 16S ribosomal RNA". It matches the Rfam family "Bacterial small subunit ribosomal RNA", at positions 30 to 523 of the family's 1533-position model. The record is from RNAcentral.
AUUGAACGCUAGCGGCAUGCUUAACACAUGCAAGUCGAACGGCAGCACGGGAGCAAUCCUGGUGGCGAGUGGCGAACGGGUGAGUAAAGUAUCGGAACGUGCCCAGUCGUGGGGGAUAACGUAGCGAAAGUUACGCUAAUACCGCAUACGAUCUAUGGAUGAAAGCGGGGGAUCGCAAGACCUCGCGCGAUUGGAGCGGCCGAUAUCAGAUUAGGUAGUUGGUGGGGUAAAGGCUCACCAAGCCGGCGAUCUGUAGCUGGUCUGAGAGGACGACCAGCCACACUGGGACUGAGACACGGCCCAGACUCCUACGGGAGGCAGCAGUGGGGAAUUUUGGACAAUGGGCGAAAGCCUGAUCCAGCCAUGCCGCGUGCAGGAUGAAGGCCUUCGGGUUGUAAACUGCUUUUGUACGGAACGAAAAGGUUUGGCCUAAUAAGCUGAGCUCAUGACGGUACCGUAAGAAUAAGCACCGACUAACUACGUGCCAGCAGCCGCCGUAA